This is a long non-coding RNA of Ornithodoros turicata, 863 nucleotides long. RefSeq lists it as uncharacterized. The record is from RefSeq and is a predicted model, not a curated record. NCBI's taxonomy places the organism in Eukaryota, Metazoa, Arthropoda, Arachnida, Ixodida, Argasidae. The transcript is spliced from 2 exons.
UCGCUUGGCUGGCGUCGUGCUACAUAGCGAGUAAUGCGACUUCCUAUAUCGUGGCGCAGAUGUGAUGCUCGGAUAAUGUGACACGUGAAGUCAAAAGUUCCGGUGACUUUAGUGACACGUAGCAGUUAUAGUGACGUCACGCUUUCCUCAGAUGGUUGCGUUUUGGAAAAGUAAUCGUUUAUGCCCUAGAAGUGAACGACACGACCUCCGCUGCAUCAUCAUCUUCUGCCGCUGUCUGCUUCGUGACUGCCGAAGGAAAGAGAAGUCAACUAUCGCCACCUAUCGACGUGUCAGGUAGUCUGAUAGGCCUCGGCUUUGCCAAUGAACAUGUAUACAACCACAGGAUCAACGAGCUAGAGGGAGACGGAAAGCCUGCGCUGAACUACAGAGAAUUUGCAAAGGGAACGAACGUGUUUGACAGCGGCCAUGUCGGUGUAGUACUGUGCCAGUGCAACGAUGGUGUAUGAAUUUUAAGGGCCGACAUCAGGUCGACACAAACAGUGAGAAGAACGCGUAGUACAGAGACUCGCUUCGGGCCCACUUUGGCGGCAACAUGCACAUGUAAAGCGGGUUUCAGCAGCCGGUGCAGUCAUAUUUGUACACCGCUCAUCAAGGUUGUAGAGGCGACAAACAAGGGGCUCACGAGUGCUUCGUGCACUGACAAGGCAUGUACACGGAACCGUUCAACUGCAAGGAACGUGACCCCUGCUACUAUGGGGGAAGUUUAUUCUGACAAGCAGCAGCCAACGCCUACAGCGGAGUUUGGGGCUCACACAGAAAUGCUGCGCCACUUUGAGGGCUGCAUUACUUACCCUCGCUGACUCUCCCGGUUUGAAAUCCUUCCUCUAAAGAUUCGAUACCUA